RNAcentral lists this ribosomal RNA (460 nucleotides) under uncultured bacterium. RNAcentral's name for it is "partial 16S ribosomal RNA". It matches the Rfam family "Bacterial small subunit ribosomal RNA", at positions 338 to 795 of the family's 1533-position model. The record is from RNAcentral.
CCUACGGGAGGCAGCAGUGAGGAAUAUUGGUCAAUGGCCGUAAGGCUGCACCAGCCAAGUAGCGUGAGGGAAGACUGCCCUAUGGGUUGUAAACCUCUUUUAUGCGGGGAUAAAGGUGUCCACGUGUGGAUGUUUGCAGGUACCGCAUGAAUCAGGACCGGCUAAUUCCUUGCCAGCAGCCGCGGUAAUACGGAAGGUCCGGGCGUUAUCCGGAUUUAUUGGGUUUAAAGGGAGCCGAGGCCGGUCUUUCAGCGUGCCGUGAAAUUUUGGGGCGCAACCAUGAGAGUGCGGCGCGAACUGGAGACCGUGAGUGCGCGGAAGGCAGGCGGAAUUCGUGGUGUAGCGGUGAAAUGCUUAGAUAUCACGAAGAACCCCGAUUGCGAAGGCAGCCUGCCGCAGCGUUACUGACGCUGAAGCUCGAAAGCGCGGGUAUCGAACAGGAUUAGAUACCCGGGUAGUC